Molecule: ribosomal RNA, 266 nt
Filed under: uncultured Atopobium sp.
Lineage: Bacteria; Bacillati; Actinomycetota; Coriobacteriia; Coriobacteriales; Atopobiaceae
Description: partial 16S ribosomal RNA
Rfam family: Bacterial small subunit ribosomal RNA
Source: RNAcentral
UAAAGUGGCGAACGGCUGAGUAACACGUGGGCAACCUGCCCUUUGCACUGGGAUAGCCUCGGGAAACCGAGGUUAAUACCGGAUACUCCAUAUUUGUCGCAUGGCGAAUAUGGGAAAGCUCCGGCGGCAAAGGAUGGGCCCGCGGCCUGUUAGCUAGUUGGUGGGGUAGUGGCCUACCAAGGCAAUGAUGGGUAGCCGGGUUGAGAGACUGAUCGGCCACAUUGGGACUGAGACACGGGCCCAAACUCCUACGGGAGGCAGCAGAC